Long non-coding RNA from Lagopus muta (rock ptarmigan), 1171 nucleotides. RefSeq lists it as uncharacterized. The record is from RefSeq and is a predicted model, not a curated record. The transcript has 3 exons. NCBI's taxonomy places the organism in Eukaryota, Metazoa, Chordata, Aves, Galliformes, Phasianidae.
GGUGAAAAGAGGUGAAAAAAGGUGAAAAAAGGAACCCAAAGCAAAGGAACCAAAGGGGAAAGGAAGGAACGAAGGGUGCAAGGAAGGAAGCAGGGGUGCAAGGAAGGAACGAAGGGUGCAAGGAAGGAAGCAAGGGUGCAAGGAAGGAACCAGGGGUGCAAGGAAGGAACCAAGGGUGCAAGGAAGGAAGCAGGGGUGCAAGGAAGGAACCAAAGGUGCAAGGAAGGAAGCAGGGGUGCAAGGAAGGAAGCAAGGGUGCAAGGAAGGAAGCAGGGGUGCAAGGAAGGAAGCAGGGGUGCAAGGAAGGAAGCAAGGGUGCAAGGAAGGAACCAAGGGUGCAAGGAAGGAACCAGGGGUGCAAGGAAGGAACCAAGGGUGCAAGGAAGGAACGAAGGGUGCAAGGAAGGAAGCAAGGGUGCAAGGAAGGAACCAGGGGUGCAAGGAAGGAACCAAGGGUGCAAGGAAGGAACCAAGGGUGCAAGGAAGGAACCAGGGGUGCAAGGAAGGAAGCAAGGGUGCAAGGAAGGAAGCAGGGGUGCAAGGAAGGAAGCAGGGGUGCAAGGAAGGAACCAAGGGUGCAAGGAAGGAAGCAAGGGUGCAAGGAAGGAACCAAAGGUGCAAGGAAGGAACCAAGGGUGCAAGGAAGGAACCAGGGGUGCAAGGAAGGAACCAAAGGUGCAAGGAAGGAACGAAGGGUGCAAGGAAGGAAGCAGGGGUGCAAGGAAGGAAGCAGGGGUGCAAGGAAGGAACCAAGGGUGCAAGGAAGGAAGCAAGGGUGCAAGGAAGGAACCAAGGGUGCAAGGAAGGAAGGGUGCAAGGAAGGAAGCAGGGGUGCAAGGAAGGAAGCAGGGGUGCAAGGAAGGAACGAAGGGUGCAAGGAAGGAAGCAGGGGUGCAAGGAAGGAAGCAGGGGUGCAAGGAAGGAAGCAGGGGUGCAAGGAAGGAAGCAAGGGUGCAAGGAAGGAAGCAGGGGUGCAAGGAAGGAACCAAGGGUGCAAGGAAGGAACGAAGGGUGCAAGGAAGGAAGCAAAAGGGUGCAAGGAAGGAAGCAGGGGUGCAAGGAAGGAACCAAGGGUGCAAGGAAGGAAGCAGGGGUGCAAGGAAGGAAGCAAGGGUGCAAGGAAGGAACCAAGGGUGCAAGGAAGGAAGCAGGGGUGCAAUGAAGGAAGCAA